RNAcentral lists this ribosomal RNA (417 nucleotides) under Rohtee ogilbii. RNAcentral describes it as "partial 12S ribosomal RNA". It matches the Rfam family "Bacterial small subunit ribosomal RNA", at positions 795 to 1414 of the family's 1533-position model. Lineage: Eukaryota; Metazoa; Chordata; Actinopteri; Cypriniformes; Cyprinidae. The record is from RNAcentral.
GCUAGCCGUAAACCUAGACAUUAAUUUACAAUAAAAUGUCCGCCAGGGUAUUACGAGCAUUAGCUUAAAACCCAAAGGACCUGACGGUGUUUCAGAUCCACCUAGAGGAGCCUGUUCUAUAACUGAUAACCCCCGUUAAACCUCACCACUUCUAGUCACCCCAGUCUAUAUACCACCGUCGUAAGCUUACCCUGUGAGGGCAGAAAAGUGAGCAAAAUGAGUAUAACCCAGAACGUCAGGUCGAGGUGUAGCGCAUGAAGUGGGAAGAAAUGGGCUACAUUUUCUGUACAGAAUAUUACGGACGUGCACCAUGAAACAGUGCUUGAAGGAGGAUUUAGAAGUAAAAGGAAAACAGAGUGUCCCUUUGAACUAGGCUCUGAAACGCGUACACACCGCCCGUCACCCUCUGGCAGUCAA